Molecule: ribosomal RNA, 116 nt
Filed under: Pteropus alecto (black flying fox)
Lineage: Eukaryota; Metazoa; Chordata; Mammalia; Chiroptera; Pteropodidae
Source: RNAcentral
GUCUAUGGCCAUGCUACCCUGAACAAACCCGAUGUCUAAUCGUGGAAGCUAAGCAGAGUUGGGCCUGUUUAGUACUUGGAUGGGAGACCACCUAGGAAGACCAGGUGCUGUAGGCA